Molecule: non-coding RNA, 609 nt
Filed under: Uncinocarpus reesii 1704
Lineage: Eukaryota; Fungi; Ascomycota; Eurotiomycetes; Onygenales; Onygenaceae
Description: Eukaryotic small subunit ribosomal RNA
Rfam family: Eukaryotic small subunit ribosomal RNA
Source: Rfam by way of RNAcentral
UACCUGGUUGAUUCUGCCAGUAGUCAUAUGCUUGUCUCAAAGAUUAAGCCAUGCAUGUCUAAGUAUAAGCACUUAUACCGUGAAACUGCGAAUGGCUCAUUAAAUCAGUUAUCGUUUAUUUGAUAGUACCUUACUACAUGGAUACCCGUGGUAAUUCUAGAGCUAAUACAUGCUAAAAACCUCGACUUCGGAAGGGGUGUAUUUAUUAGAUAAAAAACCAAUGCCCUUCGGGGCUCCUUGGUGAUUCAUAAUAACUUGUCGAAUCGCAUGGCCUUGUGCUGGCGAUGGUUCAUUCAAAUUUCUGCCCUAUCAACUUUCGAUGGUAGGAUAGUGGCCUACCAUGGUGGCAACGGGUAACGGGGAAUUAGGGUUCGAUUCCGGAGAGGGAGCCUGAGACCGGCUACCACAUCCAAGGAAGGCAGCAGGCGCGCAAAUUACCCAAUCCCAACACGGGGAGGUAGUGACAAUAAAUACUAAUACAGGGCUCUUUCGGGUCUUGUAAUUGGAAUGAGUACAAUUUAAAUCCCUUAACGAGGAACAAUUGGAGGGCAAGUCUGGUGCCAAACAGCCGCGGUAAUUCCAGCUCCAAUAGCGUAUAUUAAAGUGAAU